Molecule: ribosomal RNA, 776 nt
Filed under: uncultured bacterium
Lineage: Bacteria
Description: bacterial SSU rRNA
Rfam family: Bacterial small subunit ribosomal RNA
Source: RNAcentral
GUCGAACGAGAAAGGGGAGCAAUCCCUGAGUAAAGUGGCGUACGGGUGAGUAACACGUGGAUGAUCUGCCUUUUUGUGGGGGAUAACCUGGGGAAACCUGGGCUAAUACCGCAUAAGCUCGAGAGAGGAAAGCCGCAAGGCGCAGAAAGAGGAGUCCGCGGUCGAUUAGCUAGUUGGUAGGGUAAGAGCCUACCAAGGCAACGAUCGAUAGCCGGCCUGAGAGGGCACACGGCCACACUGGCACUGAAACACGGGCCAGACUCCUACGGGAGGCAGCAGUGGGGAAUCUUGCACAAUGGGGGAAACCCUGAUGCAGCGACGCCGCGUGAGCGAUGAAGCCCUUCGGGGUGUAAAGCUCUUUCGACAGGAACGAUAAUGACGGUACCUGUGGAAGAAGCUGCGGCUAACUACGUGCCAGCAGCCGCGGUAAUACGUAGGCAGCAAGCGUUGUUCGGAGUUACUGGGCGUAAAGGGUGUGUAGGCGGUUCACUAAGUUCGACGUGAAAUCUCCCGGCUUAACCGGGAGGGUGCGUUGAAAACUGGUGGGCUUGAGUAUGGGAGAGGUAAGCGGAAUUCCUGGUGUAGCGGUGAAAUGCGUAGAUAUCAGGAGGAACACCUGUGGUGUAGACAGCUUACUGGACCAUCACUGACGCUGAGACACGAAAGCGUGGGUAGCAAACAGGAUUAGAUACCCUGGUAGUCCACGCCCUAAACGAUGCAUACUUUGGUGUGAGCGAUUCAUUUCGUCCGUGCCGGAGCUAACGCGUUAAGUAUGC